Molecule: small RNA, 637 nt
Filed under: Lactuca serriola (prickly lettuce)
Lineage: Eukaryota; Viridiplantae; Streptophyta; Magnoliopsida; Asterales; Asteraceae
Description: eukaryotic LSU rRNA
Rfam family: 5.8S ribosomal RNA (bases 255-410)
Source: RNAcentral
UCGAACCCUGCAAGGCAGAACGACCCGUGAACAUGUAACCACAACGGGGUGACCGUGAUAAGGGCCUCGGUCCUUAUCCCCUAACCCUUCCCGACGUGAGUUCGUGGUGUCUUUUUGGGCAUCAUGGAUUCCGUUGGACCAUAACAAAACCCCGGCACGGUAUGUGCCAAGGAAAACAAAAAUGAGAAGGACACUACCUGUUUCGCCCCGUUUGCGGUGUGCGUACAGGUCGUGGCCUCCUUGGAAUCACAAACGACUCUCGGCAACGGAUAUCUCGGCUCACGCAUCGAUGAAGAACGUAGCAAAAUGCGAUACUUGGUGUGAAUUGCAGAAUCCCGUGAACCAUCGAGUUUUUGAACGCAAGUUGCGCCCGAAGCCAUCCGGCUGAGGGCACGCCUGCCUGGGCGUCACGCAUCGCGUCGCUCCCCACCAUACCUCCCCAACGGGUUGGCAUGGUGUUGGGGGCGGAUAAUGGCCUCCCGUGCUUGUGUUUCGGUUGGCCUAAAUAAGAGUUCCCUUCGGCGGACACACGACUAGUGGUGGUUGAAUAGACCCUCGUCUUUUGUUGCGUGUCGUGAGCUGUAAGGGUAGCCCUCAUCACAGACCCCAUUGUAUCGUCUUCGGAUGAUGCUUCGAC